GCUGUGCGAAGACCAGAAAAUGGAGGAAGGAACCGAGCAGCCAUGGCCGUCGCACACCUUCGCCGUUCGCCGUCGCCGCCCGUCCGCACGCGAGCUGCUCCGCCCCUCCACCCACUCGUCGUCGCUUAGCCCGUGCCACCGUCGCCCUCUCUUCUCCAUCUCCGCUGCAGCUCGACGCACCCAGCAGUGAACCAGAGAAGCCUCGUCCGUCGCCGUCCGCCGUCCUGUCCCCGGAGCGGCCGAAGUCGCCGUCGCACGCAGAUGAAGCCAGCAACCGUGCGCCUGCUCGUCCCUGCUGUUCCGCGAGUCCAGCAGCGAUUCCAGAUCUGGGGAAACUCAGCCGGAGCUGUCCAGCUCACCUCCGGCCACCGUGAGGCCCCGCCGUUGGCCGUGCAGCACCGCCGCAGCUCCUCCGCCCGUUUCCGACCUAAGCCGGCGCCGGAUCUGCUCCCUCUCGGCCCCGAUCAGCAACCCAUAAAAUGG
Molecule: long non-coding RNA, 483 nt
Filed under: Eucalyptus grandis
Lineage: Eukaryota; Viridiplantae; Streptophyta; Magnoliopsida; Myrtales; Myrtaceae
Description: long non-coding RNA (EGRA_LNC006947)
Source: RNAcentral